CACAUCCCGACGAUCGGUCCUCCAAGUCUGUAUCGGUUGCACCGUCCCUUUGCAAAGAGAACAACGGGCAACAGCAGUUUCACAGUUGAAGCAAGGAUUGCAGACUCCUCCUAGGUCUGGUCCAACCACUCGGCCCGUUUCGGUGCUUUACACGUGUGCACGUCCACAGUGUCCUCGCACUCCUUGCAGCGCACAGCGCAGCACCAGUGGAACUUGCACUCGCACUUGGUGAUGCGAGUGACGCGCGUGGUGUCGUACCCCCGCCCACAGCACAUCACCUCGCAGCCGUCCGUCCCGCGGGACAUCUUGUUGCACACGCGACCGGCCGUGCCCAGGGAGCCUGGGGAAGGAAGCGAGAGCAGGUCAGGGUGUCCCUUCUCCAUCUUGUUCAAACGCUUCCUCCCCCCGGCCCUGCAACUGUUAGCAGCGGUAAGAUGGGGUAUCUACCGUCUGCAACGGAGACCUCGGUAAUCAGGUGAGUUCUCAAAAUACACCAGAUCUGUUUUCGUGGGCUUCCUGAAGUUCUUGUUGGCCACCGUGAAGCCAGUGCCGUCCUGGUUCAUCGUCACCUGGAUGGCCCCGUUGUAUUUCUUCCUUAGCUUCAGGAAACGCUUCACAGCCUGUGGGAAGAGAGAUGCCAUGAGGACCGGCGGUCACCCUGGGCAUCAGACAUCACGCCUGGGUCUGCUUGUUCCUGGUGCAGCUUAUCAGCCCUCGCCUGUGCGGGACGGGGCUCCUAACAGGAGAGGGGUGCUGCGUGCGGAGGGCACACUCCCACGGUCACCGAUGCCAGCAUCAGUGAGGACACGUGCUGGGGGCAAAGGUUCAUCAGCGCCCGGGCGUCCUUCACUUUCUUCUCCUUGGCGUCCACGAAGGCUUUGGCAAACCGGAUCCCGUAGUUGAUGUUGUCGCUGCA
Molecule: long non-coding RNA, 916 nt
Organism: Harpia harpyja (harpy eagle)
Lineage: Eukaryota; Metazoa; Chordata; Aves; Accipitriformes; Accipitridae
Exons: 5
Source: RefSeq, a predicted model, not a curated record